Capsicum annuum is the source of this 754-nucleotide long non-coding RNA. RefSeq lists it as uncharacterized. The record is from RefSeq and is a predicted model, not a curated record. NCBI's taxonomy places the organism in Eukaryota, Viridiplantae, Streptophyta, Magnoliopsida, Solanales, Solanaceae. The transcript has 3 exons.
AAUAGAGAGCUUUUGAAAUCAAUAAACUCUUAUACUAUUUGUAAUUGUCCAUCAACAUGUCGAUUAGAGCUUUGAAUUAUGUAACCGAAACUGAAAUGCUAAACUCGAAAGAGUAAAAAUUAAGCAAAUUGUUGGCUAGGCAACUAGUCCUCAAACUUGAAGCCAACAUGGUGGAGGAAGCUUGAAAUCUAUGAAAGAUAGACCCAGCUAGCAGGACAAAGAUGCAUCAGAAGGCUCAGCUUUGAAGACUCAGGGCCUGAGGGAAAGAUAACAACAGAGAAGUGUCGAAACAAAUGGGUGGACUGUGGAGAAAGCGAUGGUUUGUUUUGAACGAGAAAACUGAAAAGGUCAUUGAGUGACAUGCUCAUCACUUUUUACAUGAUAGAGAUAAAUUAUUCUAUCUAUCUCCACAAGAUAGUGAUAAGGUCUGUAUAUAUUUUAUUCUCUUCAGACUUCACUUUGUCGGACCAUGCUUGAUAUGUUAAUAUCUACAUAAGCAUGUGCUUACUUCACUUUAUAUCCUUUUCUUUUGGUAGGACAAACAUGUGCAAAUCAAACACAAUUGGCUAUGUGAUACCACAGUGCACAAGUUGAAAGAAUAUUUGUCGUGUUUCCAAGAGAAUAGAUUAAGAUUUUAUUGCAUUGGAUAUGAUACAAUAUCUUAGCUUCUUUUGUAAAUAAAAUUAUACUUCUAGGAAUCACAUGUAUUUGAAACUUGAUCUAUACAUGUAUAUGAUAUGUUAAUUUCUUUGCA